GUAUGUGUGCUUCCAGAAGUAGCAGGACCUCUCCAGCCACAGACAGUCCAGAGACCCCCUCUCCCAUCCCAGACCCAGCCUGCCAGUUAGCUGCAGAGGCCAGGGAGCUGGUGGAGGGGGUCAGAUCCCUGAGCAGCACCGAUGAUACAGCCCCUCUCAGUGACUCAGAGGUGGGUGAACCACCUGACCCAGCCAUGGACCCUAACCGGGCAACACACCCUCAUAGCUCGCAGGCUCAGCCAUCUCCUACAGAAGAUCCAGCCAAAGACAAGCGCCGCCAGUAGAGAACAUUCAGAGAACGUCACAGAGAGCGUUUUAGAGAACGUUACGAGGACGUGAAAAGAACAAGGUGGCUGGGGACUAGGCUCAGAAGAACACUGUGCUUGGCUGACUACGUUUACCUAAAAACUACCAACGACCCUUUAAAAGACAGACAGACAGAUUGAGAUGAGACAACCAGACAGACUGUAUGUAGGAUGCUAUCCAGUGUGCGUUAAAGAAAACAACAAAAAAAACACUUAACACUUAACUCUUUAAAAAUGAACCGCUGUCAUUAGUUGAGGCUUCAGUCAAUGUUCUGGGAUUGCUUUACCGAUUAACCGCAAAAUGUUCUAGUUUAUCUGUUUUCUAAUACAGCUGUGUGUGUACUUACAUUUCUCUGUUGACAUUUAGCAUUUGUCAGAAUGUGAACGAAGGGGAGAUUCUCAACUGGGAGUGACUGGGAACGGUAGCAGGUUUUGAGGUGAAAUGGCAGAGACUUGUAGAUGCAGUUCAGUUUGUUCCAAAGAGCUUGCCGUAGCCGAUUAGACAGCACUACAAAGCCAAGGCGCUACCGUUGGGUGUGUAGGUGUACAGACGUACAGCAUGAGCUAUGAUGAUGAUGAUGAUGAUGAUGAUGAUGCACUGAACCUUUCUAUCCCUGAGUUCCAAUACUCUGUAAAAUGUUCAUUCUCUCAUGUCCUAUUUCCUUGUAUCCUAUUUCCUUGUAUCCUUCCUGACCACUGAAAUCUGGAAAGACCGGAUAGUGACGUUCAAUAUGCCGGUAUGACAUUGGCUGCUCGUCAAAUUGGUUCCAUCCGUUUAUUUUUGGGAUCAGCGGUCCUCAAGGACACGAAGAGAGAUGAAGACGUUUGUGUUCAUUAUCUGAGACGGGACAGAAAUGUGUAUUUUUGCUCACAACCCUUCCCAGAGGUGAGGAGAGGAAGCCAGGCUAGGGUAUUGGAACCUAGCCCUAGCUGUCUCUAUAGCUGUAUCGCCAUGGCUACAGUAAGUGCCCUGUAUGUGUAUACUUCAGAGAGAGAGAGAGAGGAUAACGUGGACGAUGUGCCCUGAUUCAAAGCGUCUCAUCCUGAUGACAUCGUGUCACCAUGGUGAUGACCCUGUGUACAGAAACGGUUUGUCCCUUAUACUGAAGUGCUCUGAUGAACUGUCUGUCUGUUUUGAAGAUGAUUUUGUCCUGGAAAAGCCCAUUUUCUGUUACGGAUACCGAGGUAGAGGAAGACGCUUUAGGACCUGCACGAGCUGUCAUGGCGACGCCGAGACGUCUGCUUUUGCUGUUAUUAUAAAACCUUGUAAAUCUUUAAGCUGAAAGAAAUAUUGCACUCUCCUUUGAUGUCCUUCUCCACAUCUUCUGACUGACACACACACACACACACACACACACACACACACACAAACAAGUCCGCUGGACCAAGCCAGAGCUUACUAUAGUAUGUCUGUGUCAAUUGAAGCUCGUUCAAGGCUUUGUCUAUGAGGAUUCCUUUCUUCCUUACUGUUGAGUUCUGUGAAUACUUACUACGCUGUCAUAUCACAUAUGUUCCGUGACUUCUGUUAGAACUGCGUCUCCAUAGCGACAGCUGUGUGGAAGUUCCGUUCCAUAACCCACAGUUUGUCGGCUUGUCGUCUGAGAUUGAGGUUAUGUCACCAAGACAAUAAAAAAAGAAUGGAAAAAACAACAACAAUGGCCUUUUAGCAGUGGCUGUGUCUCGAUAGUCGUAACUAGCUCCCUUUCCUUGUGUCCUUUCCUUGUGUCCUUUUCCUUCAUGAUCAGUGAUAUGGAAAGAAGCGAUACUGUAGGUAAAAAAGCAAUAUGGUGGAAAGCCAUCCAAUCCUUUCACCUGUUAGAGGUCCCGAAGGAAAGGAAAUGAAGGGAGGAGACAAGGAAAGGAAGUAAUGAAAGAGUAUUGAGACCCAGCCGGUGUCUAUCAACUCAAAACACCUGAUACUUCCUCAGUGCUAAUGAAGGAAAGGAGACGAGGAAGGAAGCCAAUGACGAGUAAUUGAGACACAACGCGAAGCAGUGUAUCUCAACUGGAAACAUCACCAGUACCAUAUGAUCACUGCAUGGUUCUGGUUCUGACAACCUGUCGUUCAACAUUCAACUGUGGAAUCAAAUGUUUGGUUUCAGGAAUGUAGAGAUUAGUUUAUACUGUCUUGUUUAAAAUAAUAGGUUGUAUGAUAACGAUACCUGUAUGGUGGGAUAUAUGGGCUGCGUCCCAAUCAUCUCUCCGUUCUCCCGAAGUGUGCACUCGUUCACUUUCCUUUAUGGAUCUCAGAGGACAUGACUGGAAUAUGGAACUCCCUCUAGAGUCCAGCCCAUGCCAACGCAUAUCCAUGUAUUUUACAUUUGUAUGGAGUAGUGAGUGCACACUUCAGGAAAGAAAGAGAGAGUUUUGGGACACAAGUCAAGGAGAUGUGUACAACAGGAGGUCAUGUAACAUUAAUAAGACCGUAGCCGGCUAAAUGUGUCCGAGGUGUAUUGUUUAUAUUGUUAAAUGCACAUGCUUUACCAAACUGACUGACAUGUAGUCCUGUAAUUGAACUAGAUUGCAUCAUUAUGUUUGGCCUCUGAACUUUCUUUUACUGUUUUUAAUAAAGGAAUAACCUCAAAUA
Molecule: non-coding RNA, 2892 nt
Organism: Oncorhynchus mykiss (rainbow trout)
Lineage: Eukaryota; Metazoa; Chordata; Actinopteri; Salmoniformes; Salmonidae
Source: RefSeq, a predicted model, not a curated record